GACGAACGCUGGCGGCGUGCUUAACACAUGCAAGUCGAACGGAGAGGCGCUGCUAUUGUGGGGUGCUCGAGUGGCGAAAGGGUGAGUAACACGUGAGUAACCUGCCCUUGACUAUGGUAUAACUUCAGGAAACUGAGGCUAAUAACGGAUAGGCGCACAUGCUGCAUGGAGGGGGUGGGACAGUGUAGGCGGUUGGGGAUGGAAUCGCGUCGUAUCAGCUUGUUGGUGGGGUAGGGGCUUACCCAGGCAUUGACGGGUAGCCGGGCUGAGAGGGUGACCGGACACGUUGCGAUGGGGAUGAGGCCCGGACCACACCCGGACGCAGGAGUGGAGUGGAGUGCACUAUGGGCGGAAGCGAAAUCCGGUAACGCCGCGUGGGGGGAGACAGCCUUCGUGUUGGAAAGCGCAUUCGCAUCUGACGAAGAGUGAGUGACGGUAACGGGUAAAGAAGCCCCGGCUAACUACGUG
This 468-nucleotide ribosomal RNA is filed under the name uncultured bacterium. RNAcentral's name for it is "partial 16S ribosomal RNA". It matches the Rfam family "Bacterial small subunit ribosomal RNA", at positions 28 to 507 of the family's 1533-position model. The record is from RNAcentral.